CUCUGUCUCUCUCUAUCUCACACACACACACACACACACAUUCUCUCUCUCUCUCUCUCUCUCUCUCACACACACACACACACACACACACACACUCUCUCUCUCUCACACACACACUGUCUCUCUCUCUCUCUCUCUCUCUCUCACACACACUCGCUCUGUCUCUCUCUCUCUCUCUCUCUCUCUCACACACACACACACACACACAAUUAUAUACUGUGCUUUAGUGUUUACUUCAAGAUAAUAUGCUCUUUCUUCUUGUUAUUUGGGCCUGUUUUCAAUCACAGAAGCAGAGUCUAUACCGCCCUCUGCUGGCUGUUCUGCCUCUUCACACCUGCUGUCAGGAAUCAGGACACUGCUGCACUGAUCUAUACCAAUCUACAGCAAGCUCACUCCGACCAGUAAACCUGCCACCUCUACCACAUCUCUACAACCAUACAUUUACAGCUCUCACUGGUGUCAGGUACAUGAGAGUGUUCGUGUCAAAGAUUUGUUGUGUUUUGACAGCAUGGGAAUGAAUAAGCCCCGCCCCCUGGACGAGCUGACGCCACAGCCCUCGACUCUCAUCUAAGGCCAACCCCUAACAUUUAAUAAUAAAUUAUAUUGAUUGCAUGGUUUAUCUUCAUGAGAGCCAACAGACCAAAUUGCCUUGCAUUUCCCUCCUCAAACUACUUCCUAUUUGAAGAUUUAUGAGCUUGUAGUAAAUGCAAAUGGUUCAGAGAAUUCAGAGAAUUUAAAAUGCCCACGUCGUAGGUUAAAUUCUUCAAAUUUAUUUCAGUAUUUCAUUUCACACUGUUACCAUUUUGAUUAUGUGACAUUCGUUAGGCAUUUUUAUUUUUAUUUUAAGGCAUACACUGCUGUGCAAAGGUCUUAUGCUUACAAACGCAAUAAAAUGAAACAUUUCUAAAUAUAAAAUUCUGAUAUAAAGAGCAGUGAACUGUACACAAACUAUAUUUUAAAGCCUUUUACACUUUUUCAAUCCUCCAUCAUAAAAUUGUCACCCAUAUUUUUAAGGAAAGGACUUUUUAUCCAGAGAACCUGCUAUAUUUCUUUUGCAGAUCCCAGAACAGCCUCUAUGCUGUGCUCUAUUGUGUUUAAUUCUUUGUAAUAUUAUUUUUUAAUGGGAGUGAAUGUUUUUUCUGUCAAAUCAAUGUUUGGAAAUCUAAAACCUGUUCUCUUCUACUAACACGGAGAAGAAAUAAAAUAAAUAUAUCUAUGGCAAAUUAAAUGAUUGCUUUAACAAACAUUCAAAUCAGAUACUUUCAAAUUUAUAUUUAAAUUUUAGAUUUAUAUUUGCGAAUAAACACAUUACAAUAGUUUGCUGUUAUCAAUCAGGCCUGUGGUCCUCUAAAAAUAUGAUUUUACACAAUUAUUUUUUCAAAAUAAUACAGUUCCAUGUGCCAUUACAGUAAGACAACAUUACAGCACAAAUGCUGUAAAUAGUAAUUUCAGUAACUGGUAUCUGCUACCAGUAAUUUACUGUUAAUUUAGAAAGUAAAUUUUUUUUUUUUACAGUGUGUACAUGUGGCAGAAAACGUGUCAUUGUUUUGUUGCAUCAAGAACCUUUUCCUGUACUGAACUUUUGGAUCAGACCUCAUUAAUGUAACACUACAGUGUCUGUCCUGCAUCCUGCAUUAAUCAUUGACAGUUUGCCAGCUCUACCUAUGACUUUAACAAGACCCCAACCAAUCUCUUUCAACAUCUCUAUACCUUUUACAGCUACAAUAAACUUAGUGUAACAUUAUAGAAGUUCUGUACUCUAAUUGUAUGUUGUACCAUCACCAGCGACAUCUGCUCCUGGAUCCGUUAAUGUAAGGGGAAGAAAGUCAUAAACUGUAUCUUGUGCUUUUUUUUUCUUUGCUGAGAGUCAUAACUAGACACACACACUCAAAUUAACAGGUACAGAAGUCUGUGCUAAGAGUAGUAAAGUAGUGCUAAGUACUCACUUUUCUCAUCACAAGCUAUAAACAGACAUGGAAAGUAAGAAUUUACGAUGAUUUUGUACCUGUACUUAAGACUGGUUUUUAAGUAUCAGUACUUUACGUGAGUUCUUCUUUCACCUCAUACUUUGCAUUUUCACUUACAUUCACAAUCUCUACUUUCUGCUCACUGCAAGUUUCUAAUGUUUGUAUGAGUCAUGAGGUGACUUUUUAGCAUCAGACAGAUCUGACUGAAAUUAGUACAAGUUAGUACAGCAAAAAAGACAGUCAAGUAUUUUUUUUUUUAAACUAGUGCUCAUUUAAAAGCUUGGUGAGGAGAAUUUCUGUGUCUAAAUUUCAUAUUCUGCACAUACACUGUUAAGACACAUUCACAUUCACCAGCUUGAAUGUGAAAUAUCUGACACACUCUAUUGGUCUUUGACCUUCCUAAUCAGACAGCAGCUCCCUGUGCACUGACUAACCAGAAAUGUCUAUAAAUUGUUAAUUAUUGGGCCAACUUGACCUGGAUUAUAGUAUCAUUUUAAGCCAGUCCUGCUCUGUAUUAUGUUACUCCUCCUACACCAGAGCAAUUUCUAAAGAUUUCAUUUUUUUUUAUUAAUGAACAAACCUUCUGAACUUUUUAAUCCAUUUAUAUUCCAUCGCUUGUCUGUUUUUUCCUCUCUUUCGAAGUUAAUAAGACAAAAAAUGCAGCUUGUCAUGUUACAGAGAAACAGGAAUGUGUAAUUUCUCUGUCCUGAAGACUUGCUCAUUACAUAUUGACAGCUUUACCUCUUCAGCUUUACUGAUACAAAAUACUGACACUGGAGACUCCUUCCAUACACGUUAAACCAACAUCUCCUCACAGAAAACUUCACCAUAUCAAUAGUUAUACAUGUUUGUUUUUGUUAAAUGUUCAUUAUUAUGCUUAGAUUAUGUGGAGCAUCUGCCAUACAAGUCCCCGUGCAAGCUGUUAUUAUAGAAAUGAUAACAUAUUAACCACGCGUAUUAAUAUAAACCUGUGAUUUGCAGCUCCACUACUGUUAGAGCUAUAUUCUCAAAAGACAUAUCAAAAGACAUCUUUCAUGUCCCAUGAGCAAAUACAUCUGGCCAUGUCAGUGAAAGCAGAGUGAUUUACCAUGACUAAUAGCAUGACCCAUUAAUAGCAGACGAGCUAAUGGAUACAAUGUUAGACUGUAAAUGAGGAACUACAUUACAGAUAGAAAAUGUGAGACGCUGUAAUCAUUAACUGAUGUGUGUAAGAAUGUGUUUGACAGUGACAAGAGAUGAGCCCCAGAGUGGAGGUACAGCUGCAAACAAAA
Pangasianodon hypophthalmus (striped catfish) is the source of this 3238-nucleotide long non-coding RNA. RefSeq lists it as uncharacterized. The transcript has 3 exons. The record is from RefSeq and is a predicted model, not a curated record. NCBI's taxonomy places the organism in Eukaryota, Metazoa, Chordata, Actinopteri, Siluriformes, Pangasiidae.